RNAcentral lists this non-coding RNA (926 nucleotides) under Aspidomorphus muelleri (Mueller's crown snake). The record is from RNAcentral. Lineage: Eukaryota; Metazoa; Chordata; Lepidosauria; Squamata; Elapidae.
CCAUUUUUAACAAAAGGUCUUGGUCUUAAACCUAUUGUUGUCUAAGCUCCCUACUUAUACAUGCAUGCCUCAACAUAACAGUGAAACAGCCCACCACAAUCUACCUUAUUUGGAGCCGGUAUCAGGCAACCGCCCAUAACACCAAGCAACCAAGCCACGCCCCCACGGGUCUACAGCAGUAAUUAAUAUUGGGCCAUAAGCGUAAGCUUGACCCAAUAACAGAGCCUUAAGAGCCGGUUAAUCUCGUGCCAGCGACCGCGGUUACACGACAGACUCAAGACAAUACCACCGGCGUAAAACACGACUAAAACCUUAAGUUCUCUUAUUAGAGACAAAACCACCCCAGGCCGUAAAAAGCCAUAAGCCGCACUAAGCAUAUACUCUAAUACCAAAACAACUUCAACUCGUGAAAGCCAGGACACAAACUAAGAUUAGAUACCCUACUAUGCCUGGCCAUAACAAAACAAUAAAAUAACACAUUGUUCGCCAAAUAACUACGAGUGAAAACUUAAAAUUUAAAAGACUUGACGGUACUUCACACCAACCUAGAGGAGCCUGUCCAAUAAUCGAUAACCCACGAUUAACCCAACCCGCUCUAGCCUGACAGUCUAUAUACCGCCGUCGCCAGCUUACCUUGUGAAAGAAACAAAGUAAGCCAAACAGCCCUCACACUAACACGACAGGUCAAGGUGUAACUAAUGAGCUGGAAUAAGAUGGGCUACAUUUUCUAACCUAGAAAAAACGAACAACCUAUGAAACUAGAAACUGAAGGUGGAUUUAGCAGUAAGCCGAAAAUAGAUAUACUCCACUGAAACUAACGCAAUGAAGUGCGCACACACCGCCCGUCAUCCCUGUAAAACACACAACUCAUAUAUAAUAACAUUAUAAUCUCAAAGCAGGGCAAGUCGUAACAAGGUAAGCGUACU